Molecule: ribosomal RNA, 478 nt
Filed under: uncultured bacterium
Lineage: Bacteria
Description: partial 16S ribosomal RNA
Rfam family: Bacterial small subunit ribosomal RNA
Source: RNAcentral
GACGAACGCUGGCGGUGUGCUUAACACAUGCAAGUCGAGCGAUGAAGCUCCUUCGGGAGUGGAUUAGCGGCGGACGGGUGAGUAACACGUGGGUAACCUGCCUCAUAGAGGGGAAUAGCCUUUCGAAAGGAAGAUUAAUACCGCAUAAGAUUGUAGUACCGCAUGGUACAGCAAUUAAAGGAGUAAUCCGCUAUGAGAUGGACCCGCGUCGCAUUAGCUAGUUGGUGAGGUAACGGCUCACCAAGGCGACGAUGCGUAGCCGACCUGAGAGGGUGAUCGGCCACAUUGGGACUGAGACACGGCCCAGACUCCUACGGGAGGCAGCAGUGGGGAAUAUUGCACAAUGGGGGAAACCCUGAUGCAGCAACGCCGCGUGAGUGAUGACGGUCUUCGGAUUGUAAAGCUCUGUCUUUAGGGACGAUAAUGACGGUACCUAAGGAGGAAGCCACGGCUAACUACGUGCCAGCAGCCGCGGUAA